Molecule: unclassified non-coding RNA, 232 nt
Filed under: Hevea brasiliensis (rubber tree)
Lineage: Eukaryota; Viridiplantae; Streptophyta; Magnoliopsida; Malpighiales; Euphorbiaceae
Source: RNAcentral
UUUUUUUUUUAUCUUAUUUUAAUACGAUAUCUAUCAUUUACCAAAUCUCUGGUUCACUUCUUUUACUUGUCCAAACCUUUUGGAUUGAGAACUAUUUGAUAUUCUGGCUUUAGAGGUUGCAUUUGUAUUUGCAACGACAUAUUCUAUUACAUAUGUAUACGGACAAAUGGAUGCCGAAGCUGUUACUAGUAUUGUUCAUGACAUUUCUUUUUUUCCUUUGGGCAAGUGAUAG